RNAcentral lists this long non-coding RNA (431 nucleotides) under Pongo abelii (Sumatran orangutan). RNAcentral's name for it is "lincRNA". Lineage: Eukaryota; Metazoa; Chordata; Mammalia; Primates; Hominidae. The record is from RNAcentral.
GCAGCUGCUCCCAACCCCAGCAACUUUGCUAUCUUAGAACGGAUCACCAGUGAAAGAGGGGAAGUUGCUACUGUGAUGAAUUCUGCCAUGUGGUACCAGACUGCUGCCCAGACCACAGUGUCCUCUGCAACCCUGGUCAAAGGUGCCUACAUGUUCCUUCUAGCUUUGUUUCCCUGAUGUUCCUUGCCACCUGCUACUCCUCUCUGAGCUACUUUUCCAGCUUCUCAGAUGACCAAGAUGGUGCUGCCGAUGGUGUUGAGGACGGAGAACCCACCAAGCCCCGUUAGGAGCCACCUAGACUGGAUGCAGAGCACAGUUCAGCGACUUCUCCAAACCAGCCUCCCAGGAAUGCUGUUCUCUAUGGCCGUGAGGGGAAUCAAGAAGAGAGCCUGACUCCUCUCCUGAGGUCCCUUCCACACCCUGAGCCAGCA